RNAcentral lists this ribosomal RNA (1371 nucleotides) under uncultured bacterium. Its description in RNAcentral is "bacterial SSU rRNA". It matches the Rfam family "Bacterial small subunit ribosomal RNA". The record is from RNAcentral.
AGAGUUUGAUCCUGUGCUCAGGACGAACGCUGGCGGCGCGCCUAACACAUGCAAGUCGAACGAGCGAGAGAGAGCUUGCUUUCUCGAGCGAGUGGCGAACGGGUGAGUAACGCGUGAGGAACCUGCCUCAAAGAGGGGGACAACAGUUGGAAACGACUGCUAAUACCGCAUAAGCCCACAGCUCGGCAUCGAGCAUAGGGAAAAGGAGCAAUCCGCUUUGAGAUGGCCUCGCGUCCGAUUAGCUAGUUGGUGAGGUAAUGGCCCACCAAGGCGACGAUCGGUAGCCGGACUGAGAGGUUGAACGGCCACAUUGGGACUGAGACACGGCCCAGACUCCUACGGGAGGCAGCAGUGGGGAAUAUUGCACAAUGGGGGAAACCCUGAUGCAGCGACGCCGCGUGGAGGAAGAAGGUCUUCGGAUUGUAAACUCCUGUUGUUGAGGAAGAUAAUGACGGUACUCAACAAGGAAGUGACGGCUAACUACGUGCCAGCAGCCGCGGUAAAACGUAGGUCACAAGCGUCGUCCGGAAUUACUGGGUGUAAAGGGAGCGCAGGCGGGAAUACAAGUUGGAAGUGAAAUCUAUGGGCUCAACCCAUAAACUGCUUUCAAAACUGUAUCUCUUGAGUAGUGCACACGUACGCGGAAUUCCCGGUGUAGCGGUGGAAUGCGUAGAUAUCGGGAGGAACACCAGUGGCGAAGGCGGCCUACUGGGCACCAACUGACGCUGAGGCUCGAAAGUGUGGGUAGCAAACAGGAUUAGAUACCCUGGUAGUCCACACCGUAAACGAUGAUUACUAGGUGUUGGAGGAUUGACCCCUUCAGUGCCGCAGUUAACACAAUAAGUAAUCCACCUGGGGAGUACGACCGCAAGGUUGAAACUCAAAGGAAUUGACGGGGGCCCGCACAAGCAGUGGAGUAUGUGGUUUAAUUCGACGCAACGCGAAGAACCUUACCAAGUCUUGACAUCCUGCGACGCACAUAGAAAUAUGUGUUUCCUUCGGGACGCAGAGACAGGUGGUGCAUGGUUGUCGUCAGCUCGUGUCGUGAGAUGUUGGGUUAAGUCCCGCAACGAGCGCAACCCUUACUGUCAGUUACUACGCAAGGGGACUCUGGCAGGACUGCCGUUGACAAAACGGAGGAAGGUGGGGAUGACGUCAAAUCAUCAUGCCCUUUAUGACUUGGGCUACACACGUACUACAAUGGCGUUAAACAAAGAGAAGCAAGACCGCGAGGUGGAGCAAAACUCAGAAACAACGUCCCAGUUCGGACUGCAGGCUGCAACUCGCCUGCACGAAGUCGGAAUUGAUAGUAAUCGUGGAUCAGCAUGCCACGGUGAAUACGUUCUCCGGGCCUAGUACACACCGCCCGUC